RNAcentral lists this ribosomal RNA (253 nucleotides) under uncultured bacterium. Its description in RNAcentral is "partial 16S ribosomal RNA". It matches the Rfam family "Bacterial small subunit ribosomal RNA", at positions 524 to 776 of the family's 1533-position model. The record is from RNAcentral.
UACGGAGGGGGCAAGCGUUGUCCGGAAUCAUUGGGCGUAAAGCGCGUGUAGGCGGCUCGGUAAGUCCGCUCUGAAAGUCCGGGGCUCAACCCCGGGAGGCGGGUGGAUACUGUCGAGCUAGAGUCCGGAAGAGGAGUGUGGAAUUCCCGGUGUAGCGGUGAAAUGCGCAGAUAUCGGGAAGAACACCCGUGGCGAAGGCGGCACUCUGGGACGGUACUGACGCUGAGACGCGAAAGCGUGGGGAGCGAACAGG